Long non-coding RNA from Carassius gibelio (silver crucian carp), 815 nucleotides. RefSeq lists it as uncharacterized. The record is from RefSeq and is a predicted model, not a curated record. NCBI's taxonomy places the organism in Eukaryota, Metazoa, Chordata, Actinopteri, Cypriniformes, Cyprinidae. The transcript has 4 exons.
GAAGGCCAUGUUUCCUGAGUGACAGGGAUUUGAGCGGGAUCGGGGCUGGGCUUUUCAUAUUCUCAAUAACACUGUUUUCUUUGUCUUUGUUUAUGUUACAUCAGGUGCACCGAAGAGUGUCUGGAGCCCUAUGAUACUAGAAAUGCUUUUUAAAUGGACCAAGAACAGAUUUUACCUGGACCUGUAAACCUGAUCCAUGACUGCAGAGCAAGGGCAGGCAGACUGCCGAGACUGACAGAGCUUUUUUAUUUUUAAAUUAUAGUGACACAGCAUAUAGAGAAAUCUACCGAACAUCCCUGCCCAUGUAUGUGCAAUCUCCUGGGCAGCUAAACAGAAAUAAUUUAAAAUAGAUUGUAUUCUCAAUCCUCUGUCAAGCUGUAUUUGAGAUCUUUGAGGCACACAUGAAGACACCUCCCCUUAGGAUGCACCAUGGGGACACUUGCUGCACAGUUGAAUAUUAAGGGUGUGGAGAAGGCUAGGCGAAGGCUGUCAGAAGAUAUGGACGCACACCUGUUGAACACAGAGGUGUUGAGCCAGUAGGUAAAGAAGCAGGGAUUAGUUCUCUACCUCAACUGAGAGACUUCCUCUGUGCAUACAGAUGGUCUUUAUCUGGAGUCUCACUGCUCAAUGCUCCUGCUACAGGCCAGCACAAGAAAGAUGUCCUCACCGGUGAAAAGGAAGCAAGUUAAUAUACCCUCAAGCACCUCAGAUGCACUGUGCAAUUGAUUGCUAACAUUAAAGUCAAAUACAAAGUUGAAACCAGCACACAUUUACAGGAAAGCCAACUGAAAUUUAAUAAAAUGAUAUAAAGCCUG